This is a long non-coding RNA of Lepidothrix coronata (blue-crowned manakin), 629 nucleotides long. RefSeq lists it as uncharacterized. The transcript has 5 exons. The record is from RefSeq and is a predicted model, not a curated record. NCBI's taxonomy places the organism in Eukaryota, Metazoa, Chordata, Aves, Passeriformes, Pipridae.
GGAAAUACUUCACUGCUGCUUCAACUGCUUUUUCUUGUGGAAUUCGAAUACUUCGGGGGGCAAUGAAGGGAACUGUUCCUUGAGGAUAAAUCUUCAUUUCUCUCAUGUGAAGAACUAUGCCGAGAUCUGCCCGUGGAAAAUUACAUCCUAGGAGCAAGAAUCACAAAGGACCUUUGCUUUCAGACUUUUCUUUAAGAGGUCCACAGCAUAAUGAGCAAACUGGAAUGAAGUGUAUUAACCUUUGAAAGAUGAAAGAGGGUUACAGCUACCCCAGAGGGAUCACUGUUGGGCCAGCUGGGCAUCUUUGCAAAGGGCACAAGACAGUCCUUGAGGUCAGUGGAAUGAGUUGCAACAGGAUGGAAGAGAAACUGGGGAGAACCCUGGUCCCAGGAAAGUUAUAUGUCAAGACACAACAAUUUACGAAGUUUUCAAGUAUUCAAGUGACGAAGGUCAUGCAAACGGUCCUAUGGAGAAGUAUUAAAAUUUCCUCCUACACAAAGCAGGAAGAGCGGACACAGCCCUGGACUUCCUCUCCCAGAUCCUUCCUGACCAAGAUGCCCUGCUCCAAGGGAGGAGCCGUGACCUUCAAAGGCCGUGUCUUGGCAUGUCAGGACACACUCAUGUGCACA